RNAcentral lists this non-coding RNA (166 nucleotides) under human gut metagenome. The record is from RNAcentral.
UUUGAAAAGCAGACAUGUGUUAAAAGGGAAGCAGGUGGAAGUCCUGCACGAUCUCGUCACUGUAAGCCGGGAGUAUACAUUCGAUAUCGGAAGAUAACCACUGGCCGCAAGGCUGGGAAGGGGAAUGUGUAUGAGGAUCGGUAAGUCAGGAAACCUGCCGUGUAUU